This 505-nucleotide ribosomal RNA is filed under the name uncultured bacterium. RNAcentral describes it as "bacterial SSU rRNA". It matches the Rfam family "Bacterial small subunit ribosomal RNA", at positions 10 to 507 of the family's 1533-position model. The record is from RNAcentral.
AGUUUGAUCAUGGCUCAGAUUGAACGCUGGCGGCAUGCCUUACACAUGCAAGUCGAACGGCAGCACGGGAGCUUGCUCCUGGUGGCGAGUGGCGAACGGGUGAGUAAUACAUCGGAACGUACCCUGAAGUGGGGGAUAACGUAGCGAAAGUUACGCUAAUACCGCAUAUUCUGUGAGCAGGAAAGAGGGGGGAUCGCAAGACCUCUUGCUUUAGGAGCGGCCGAUGUCGGAUUAGCUAGUUGGUGAGGUAAAGGCUCACCAAGGCGACGAUCCGUAGCGGGUCUGAGAGGAUGAUCCGCCACACUGGGACUGAGACACGGCCCAGACUCCUACGGGAGGCAGCAGUGGGGAAUUUUGGACAAUGGGCGCAAGCCUGAUCCAGCCAUGCCGCGUGAGUGAAGAAGGCCUUCGGGUUGUAAAGCUCUUUCGGUGGGGAAGAAAUGGCACGGGUUAAUACCCUGUGUUGAUGACGGUACCCGCAUAAGAAGCACCGGCUAACUACGUG